CGGAGCAUGCGGAUUAAUUCGAUGCAACGCGAAGAACCUUACCAAGACUUGACAUAUAGGUAGAAAAGCGUAGAAAUACGCUCCCCCCAAGGCUGCUAUACAGGUGGUGCAUGGUUGUCGUCAGCUCGUGUCGUGAGAUGUUGGGUUAAGUCCCGCAACGAGCGCAACCCUCGUCCUAUGUUGCCAGCACGUAAUGGUGGGAACUCAUGGGAGACUGCCGGGGUCAACUCGGAGGAAGGUGGGGAUGACGUCAAAUCAUCAUGCCCCUUAUGUCUUGGGCUUCACGCAUGCUACAAUGGCCGAUACAAAGGGCUGCGAUACCGCAAGGUGGAGCGAAUCCCAUAAAGUCGGUCUCAGUUCGGAUUGGGGUCUGCAACUCGACCCCAUGAAGUCGGAGUCGCUAGUAAUCGUAGAUCAGCAACGCUACGGUGAAUACGUUCCCGGGCCUUGUACACACCGCC
RNAcentral lists this ribosomal RNA (461 nucleotides) under uncultured Actinomycetes bacterium. Its description in RNAcentral is "bacterial SSU rRNA". It matches the Rfam family "Bacterial small subunit ribosomal RNA", at positions 933 to 1394 of the family's 1533-position model. The record is from RNAcentral. Lineage: Bacteria; Bacillati; Actinomycetota; Actinomycetes.